Long non-coding RNA from Tympanuchus pallidicinctus (lesser prairie-chicken), 1369 nucleotides. RefSeq lists it as uncharacterized. The record is from RefSeq and is a predicted model, not a curated record. The transcript has 3 exons. NCBI's taxonomy places the organism in Eukaryota, Metazoa, Chordata, Aves, Galliformes, Phasianidae.
CCCAAACAAAGACAGCAGUAGGCACUCAAAAGGUCAAAAUCUGUCAUGUGUGAAGGCAUCUGAUUUUUAAGUUCUUCUCUCUUCAGAUGAACAAUCCAGGUGGGAAAGCUAGGGGAAAUCUCUAAUAUAUACCUUAAUAACUUAACAGAGAGAAUAUUCAGCACUGGUGCUGCUGCUGGCCACCAGCCUGUUCCCAUCUGGGGUCUUCCUUUAAAAUAAUAACACAGAUCUAUGUAAUAAUUGGUUUCUCACAUACAAUACUGAUCUCCUGAGCAAGCAAAGAAUGUUUUGCAUCAUCAAACCUUGUCAAUUUUCCUCUCCCAUAAAAUGUGUCAGAAUUCCUUUGGCUUGGGCUGGAGCUAUGCUCAAAAAUCCAAGCCAGUCUUUAAAAUGUAAGGGAAACUGGUGCAUGCACAAACUGCACUGUGUUACUGUAUUCAUAGGAGGAGGAGGAAUCGUAGGGAAGGGAGCUUCAGCUGUGACCAAGGAGACCUGCAGGGCUAUGCCCGGCCCUGCCUUGUUGCAGACACAAAGCACACAUCUGGUGUUCUGUAUCAUUCAAACCAACUGGGUACUUCUUGGAUUUUCUGAACUGUCACUCCAUGUGUUCACCACACCUAAAACCCAACUCACACAUUCAAUCCCACAACACAUUUCUCAUGACUUCCACCCUCAUAAUCCGGCUGGGUAGGUAUUAACCAAGCAAUCUUUUACACUCAAGGAUAAGUUUACACAACAUAGCCCUGCAGUUAUCAGUAACAUAGCUCCAGGGAGUUACCUGCUCACUGUUGCCUUUAAAGCUCUCUCUGCACAUUCACAUCACGACUCUCUCCUCAGAAGCACAUUGCCUGCUUUCAGAUUUUCUUCACAUUCCCUCUAGUUUGCUCCCAUUCUGUUAUAUACUCACUACUCUAGAGGGAGAGAUGUCAGCCACAUGAUUGUUAGUUUUUUUCUCAACAGUCAGGAGGUGAAAUGGAUGAAAAGUGGAGAACUGAUGGGCAAUACAAACUUCUGCUUUGAAACUCAAGGUGGGCAUGGAAAAAAAAAGACUUUUGCACCAAGUACAGAGACCAAAAUUUUGGCUUGCCCAUCUCUGUUGAAGGAGCAGUGAUCUCAGCUGUCUACAGUGGUGCAGCUCUGAAGGGAGCAUGCAUAUUCUGCUGCCUGGGAAACCAUGAACACACCUCUGCAGACUGGGAAAGAACAUCACCUAUAAGAAGACCCCUAUCUAGCAGAAAAAACACAGGAUGGAAAAAGUAGCAGCUAUACAAGCAUACGUCUCAGCAAGGAGUUGCGCUAAGUGGAGAAUAAAGAAUAAAUCUGACUUUCUGCCCCUUGACAAGAAAUAAAGUGUAGGAAAUGUGAGAAC